CCAUGGCUUCCGGUGCUUUGACGAAACCCGAUGCGUGGCCUUCUGGCCAAGCACCUGUGCUUUCAUCUUGUUUGAGAACUCAUUGUAUCUGCGGGGGUCGCAGCUCUCUAUAAGUUUGCUGUGGCUGAACCAAGAAAAAAGACAUACACAGAUUUCUACAGUAAUUAUGAGUUCAAUGAAAGAUUUUUGAGGAAAUGAGGAAGGCUGGUAUCUUUCAGAGUGCAAAGUG
This 229-nucleotide long non-coding RNA is filed under the name Homo sapiens (human). RNAcentral describes it as "non-protein coding lnc-ALKBH1-2:1". Lineage: Eukaryota; Metazoa; Chordata; Mammalia; Primates; Hominidae. The record is from RNAcentral.